AAUUGGCUUAUCCAAUAAACCAAUUAGACUUGAUCCAAUCAAGCCCAAACUAAAUCUAAUUAAAUUAUAUUUAAUUAGACUUAAUCUCAACCCAUUGGCUUAAUCAAAUUAAGCCAAUUAGCAAUCAAAUUGCUAAUCGAUCCUCCUGCAACACUUGUACUAGGUUAAAUAUCAAUUGUAUUGAUCAUUUAACCCUAGAACGAUUCUUAAUCGUUGAUCAACCAUCCGAUCGGAUCAUGAACUCUAAUGUGUGUGACCUCAUAGGUCCGAACCUAAG
This 277-nucleotide long non-coding RNA is filed under the name Elaeis guineensis (African oil palm). RNAcentral describes it as "long non-coding RNA (EGUI_LNC070140)". The record is from RNAcentral. Lineage: Eukaryota; Viridiplantae; Streptophyta; Magnoliopsida; Arecales; Arecaceae.